Molecule: transfer RNA, 73 nt
Filed under: Actinomycetes bacterium
Lineage: Bacteria; Bacillati; Actinomycetota; Actinomycetes
Also listed under: 1 other name
Description: tRNA-Thr
Rfam family: tRNA
About the family: Transfer RNA (tRNA) molecules are approximately 80 nucleotides in length.
Source: RNAcentral
GCCCGAGUAGCUCAGUUGGCAGAGCAGCUGUCUUGUAAACAGCAGGUCGCAGGUUCGAUUCCUGUCUCGGGCU